ACGGGUGAGUAACGCGUGGGUAACCUGCCUUAUACAAGGGGAUAACAGAGGGAAACUUCUGCUAAUACCGUAUAAAAAUAUUUCACGCAUGUGAGAUAUUUGAAAGAUUUAUCAGUAUGAGAUGGACCCGCGUCUGAUUAGGUAGUUGGUGAGGUAGAGGCUCACCAAGCCGACGAUCGGUAGCCGAUCUGAGAGGAUGACCGGCCACAUUGGGACUGAGACACGGCCCAAACUCCUACGGGAGGCAGCAGUGGGGAAUAUUGGACAAUGGGGGCAACCCUGAUCCAGCGACGCCGCGUGAGUGAAGAAGUAUUUCGGUAUGUAAAGCUCUAUCGAUAACGGAAGAAGAUGACAAGCCGUUAAGGAAGAAGCCCCGGCUAACUACGUGCCAGCAGCCGCGGUAAUACGUAGGGGGCAAGCGUUAUCCGGAUUUACUGGGUGUAAAGGGAGCGCAGACGGCAAAUAAAGUCUGAAGUGAAAUCCCGCAGCUCAACUGCGGAGUUGCUUUGGAAACUUAUAAGCUGGAGUGUCGGAGGGGUAAGCGGAAUUCCCAGUGUAGCGGUGAAAUGCGUAGAUAUUGGGAGGAACACCGGAGGCGAAGGCGGCUUACUGGAAGAUAACUGACGUUGAGGCUCGAAGGCGUGGGUAGCAAACAGGAUUAGAUACUCCUGGUAGUCCACGCAGUAAAC
Molecule: ribosomal RNA, 689 nt
Filed under: uncultured bacterium
Lineage: Bacteria
Description: bacterial SSU rRNA
Rfam family: Bacterial small subunit ribosomal RNA
Source: RNAcentral